RNAcentral lists this ribosomal RNA (207 nucleotides) under uncultured bacterium. Its description in RNAcentral is "partial 16S ribosomal RNA". It matches the Rfam family "Bacterial small subunit ribosomal RNA", at positions 568 to 774 of the family's 1533-position model. The record is from RNAcentral.
UCCGUAGGCGGUCAGGUAAGUCAGUGGUGAAAGCCCAUCGCUCAACGGUGGAGCGGCCAUUGAUACUGUCUGACUUGAAUUAUUAGGAAGUAACUAGAAUAUGUAGUGUAGCGGUGAAAUGCUUAGAGAUUACAUGGAAUACCAAUUGCGAAGGCAGGUUACUACUAAUAUAUUGACGCUGAUGGACGAAAGCGUGGGUAGCGAACA